GGAUUACUUGUCUCCAAGAUACCUUAACAAAACUAUUCCAGAGUUGGCAAGGGUGGCUGCUGAUGGAUUAGUUAUUUUAUCUGGUUACCCUGGUCAGCAAAAGGUUAAAGGAGCGGAGCUGUCAAAAUUUGGCCGGCCAGCCAAAUUGCGGAGCUCGUCCUGGUGGAUUAGAUUUUUCAUUCAAACCAGCUUAGAAGAGAAUGAACCUGUAACUAAGAAAUUUGAACAAGCAGCAGCCAAGAGGUCUUACAAGCCAGCCUGCCAAGUUUUCCACCUCAAGCCACUUCUUUGAUAAUAAAACACCAACUCUGUUUAAAAGAUGCUUAGCGUCUUCAGCUGUGUAUUAAAUGACAUGCUCCAAGUUCUGAAAAGUUGACAAUUUUUGUUGGAGGAAGUUGUUUCUGUAUGAUAGGUUUCACAAGUAAUGUAUAAUAGGCUAGGAGCUUGCUGUCAAUUGAUAUUGCUCCUUGUAACUGCAAACAUAGCUGGUUUUAGCAUGUCCAGACCAAAAACAUUGUUUGAGAAUUAGUACUGUAUAAGCUAAGAUCAAUAAGUAAUUUAUGAUCUUUUUGCUGUCAUAUUGUGUACUCUCUG
RNAcentral lists this unclassified non-coding RNA (594 nucleotides) under Hevea brasiliensis (rubber tree). The record is from RNAcentral. Lineage: Eukaryota; Viridiplantae; Streptophyta; Magnoliopsida; Malpighiales; Euphorbiaceae.